GAUUUGAAGAUUUUGCUGAAUUUUCUAUUUAGAAAGAUUUUUUUCAUCUUCCUUUUCUAUUUAAAAGAUUUUAUCAUCUUUCUUUUUUUGUUUAGAAAAAUUUUAUUCUAUCAUCUUCCUUUUAGAAAAAGAUUUUAUUCUAUCAUUUUUCUGUUCUUGCUUGGAAAGAUUUGGUCAAAAUUUCUUUUUCUGUUUAGGAGGAUUUUGUUUGAUCAUCUUCCCUUUUUUUUAGAUAAGUCUCUAAGUUGGAAAUAUUUUCUUUUUAUUCUCAGAGGUUGAUCUAUAAAUAGCCCACAAGGCUUUGGCUAUGGGGGAAAAUGAUUAUUGAAUAAAAUUCGAGUUUUGUUACAGAGUUGUAGUGAGAGCUUUGUUUCUUUCCCAGGGUGUUACCGGUUCGGGCGAGAUCCAAAGUUCAGUUCUUCUUUAGAUCUGUGUUCUCCUCUAUUUUCUGUAAGUUGUGAUUACCUACUAGUGAGAUCUGAUCGAGAUUCGAGAAAGUUUGGAGAUUUCACAAAAUAAGAAGAAGAUGGAGAUUGAAGACGAAGAUCUUGUUUCCCUUUCUCCUUGCACGUGCUAUCCGAGACGUCCGACCAACCAUCCAUACCAACAAUCUGGGCCAACUUCAGCCUAAAGUCAAGUAUUAGUUUCUCUUUGCUUCACAAAAAAAAAGGUUAUAGUGCUAAUUUUUCUGCCUAGAUCCAGAUCUACACAUAUCAUCUAUUGGUAAUAAAAGCUGGGUUCAUAGGAUAGUUUGAUUUUUAUUUUUUUCCUCGAAACAUUUAUCAUAUUACUUUUUUCCAAAAAAAAACAAAAAUUAAUUCAGUCCUUUUCCUUCCUGUAUGAUACUUGGUUGCGAUUGUUGAGCAGGAAUUGACUACGUGGACAUCUACAAGCUUAGCUAGGAGAUCGUUGUGGACAGACUGCGAAUUGAUCUGAGUUAAUCAUAAUAGCAUAACUGCGUGCUUGUUGGAUAUCAUAUGGUAUAAUUUCUUACCUGAUUUAAUCUCUUUACUAUAUUAUUUUCUUUAGCUGAACAUUCUUUCUUUAUUAAAAUUAAUUUCAAAAAACAAAGCUCAUUUAAUCUUAUUUUGCAAUCAAUUUUGUAUGCCACAUCUAAGGGAUAGCAACCAGUAUGAUCGGUUUGACAUCUUAUGUGCUGCAUUGAUGCAUAACAUAUAGGAUUUUGGACCGUCUUGCAUCAAAUUUGGUAUCAAAGCAGGAGGCAAAAUUGAUUUAAGGGCACUUAACCCAAUUAAAUAAGAUAAAAUGAAAAUUUGAUCAUCCUUCCUUAGCUCAAAAAUCAUCACUCUUCAUAUUGCAUUGAUCUAAAUUUUUAAUUUAAAAUCAAUUACAUGUCAGUCCUAAGGAAUUCGAGCUCAAUAGGACAAGAAAACCGAAAGGAUGGAUCGGAUUUGAUUUUGACUAACCAAUUGGUGUCUAGAAAAGUGGUUUAGGGACUCAGUUCUGAAGAACGGUGGUUACUUAAUUAGGUCCGUUACGAAAGCACGGGAAGCCUCCCACCAAUCUUACACUUACCUGAUCAAUUUGAUCGGUUGAUUUUAAACUUGGAGUUCCUGAAGGUGAUCUUAGAACAGUUUCGAGCUGUCUUGAUUUAUCCUCUUUUCCCUGAUUAUUGCACGAUCCUUAGGAGUGGUAAAAUUUAUCAUCCUGUAUCAAUAUCUUUUGACUCCACUGCAAUGGAUCAGAUUUUACAACAAUUGGCUGCUUUGAAUACUAACUUAGAUGACAUAGGAAAUCAUGUGAUCACCCUUAAAACUAAUCAAACCAUGGAUGACACUGUGAACCCUAAUGCUACUCCUGCUAGAACAGCUCUUAGAGCCGUAGGCGAUAGAAACCAGCCUAACCCUUUUAGGUUCAACUUCCAACCAGAUGACGAUAUUACCAAGAAAGUUAAAAUUAAAGCCCCAACCUUUGAUGGUAGAUUUGACUCUAAGACUUUCACUGAUUGGCUGACUGACAUGGACCAAUUCUUUGAUUGGUACGAUAUGCCCGAUGACCGUUGCGUCUAUUUCGCCAAAAUGAAACUCAUAGGCACGGCCAAACAAUAAUGGAUAAGUGUUGAGCGACAAUUGGCUAGGUCUAGACAAGCAUCGAUCACGUUGUGGGAUGAGAUGAAGGCCAAAUUGAGUGAAAAAUAUUUACCCUCAACCCAUAGACAACUUCAAAUAGAACAGAUGUUGUCAUUACAUCAAGGUUUGAUGACCAUAACUGAUGACAUGCAAAAGUUCGAUGAGAUUUCUAUUAGGUAUAAUGUCCAAGAAGAAGAGGAUGUGACCUUAGCCCGAUUUAGGAGAGGACUACGUGAGGAAAUCCAGAAAGAGAUCUCACCCCAUCGAGUCACCACUGUUAAGGAUGCAUUCCAACUUGCAAUCGAGUAUGAGCGUUACCUCAAACCUCCAACCAAAUGCUUCGGUUACCAAGCUAGGGAGUCGAGUACUAGAAAGUGGACCAAUAGGAGCCAAAAUACUACUAAGCCCAUCAUGCCCUCCCAUCAACCUAACCGAGACCCUAAUGGACCCUAAUGGAAAAUCUUUAGUUGAGGGAACCAAACCAGAUCUUUCCCGAGUGAAGUGUUUUAACUGUGAGAGGAUGAGUCAUUACUCAAAUAAGUAUCCUCAAAAGUAUAACUUGAUGAUGAAAAAUGAUGACGAUGACUUCGAGGAAGUAGUGCUUGAGACUAAAGAGUUUCCUAGUGAUGAGGACGAGCACAAAUAUGUAGAUGAUGCCGAUGACACUGUUCCUUUGCAAAUUGUCUGUUGUAUCCUUACCACCAAGAAGGAUGAGGAUGAUUGGCGACGCACUGCUAUCUUCCACACUUAUACUAAGUGCGGGGAUAAGGUGUGCAAGAUCGUCAUUGACGGUGGUAGCAGCAUGAAUGUGGUCGCCAAAAUGGCCCUCGAUCGGAUGAAGUUGACCCCUAAACCACAUCCGAGCCCCUUUAGAGUUGCUUGGAUAGAUAAGACUACAAUACUUGUCACUGAGCGAUGUUUGGUCUCAAUCAACUUUGCCACCUAUAGGGAUCAAGUGUGGUGUUAUGUCCUCCCAAUAGAUGUUGGACACAUUCUUUUAGCACGAUCGUGGUUGUACGACCAUAAUGUUAUACAUCAUGGUCGUCCAAACACAUACACCACCCAUAAUAAGAAAAGAAUUAUGUUGAGACCCCACAAAAUUAAAACGAUUCAAUAUUCAUCUAGCCAAUCUAAUGCACCUAAGGGACCAACAAUGUCUAAGGAGAACACGUUGAGCAUCACUAAGGUAGAGCCGACCAAACCGCUUCACUUUCUGAAUUAGAAGCAAUUCUGUCGAGAAGCCAGUUCUAGAGAUGUCUACGCGCUAGUUGUCCGAGAGGUAAAGGAGCCUUCCCUUAAUACUGAGCUGACCUUGAACCUUCAAAGCCUAUUGUCUGACUAUUCUGAUUUGACUCCAAAUGAGUUAUCCGAUGAACUUCUACCCAUGAGAGAUAUUCAACAUGCAAUAGAUUUUGUACCUGGGUCGUCAUUGCCAAACUUGCCACACUAUAGGAUGAACCCUAAGGAGCAUGAUGAGUUGAAACAUCAAGUAGAUGACUUGAUUAGAAAGGGUUUCAUUAAAGAGAGUAUGAGUCCUUAUGCAGUUCUGGCACUUUUUACUCCUAAGGAUGGAACUUGACGAAUAUGUAUCGACAGUCGAGCCAUCAAUAAGAUCACUAUUAAGUAUAGGUUUCCAAUCUCUCGAUUAGACGACAUGCUUGAUAUGAUGACUGGAUCCAUUGAACGCUGUACCGUAUUGAACUGGUCGGUACACCUCGUACUGAACCGAACCAGUGGGGAACUGGCACGGUUCGAUCGGUUCAAACGGUAUACCGACGGAGGAGGAAGGAAAAGAAAGAAAAAAUGAGAAAGAGAGAGAGGAGGAGAGGGAGGGAAGCGGGAGCCGUUGGAGGCCGAUGGUGGCCCGCUGCGGCCACUGGAGGACCGCGAAAGCGUCCGCGGCUCAUCGAUUCGCCCAAUAGGGCUUUAAAACAAGCAAGAAAGAGAGAGAAAAGAGGGAGAUCACCGAAGAUGGGAGCGGAUGACGUCGCAAUCGCGGAUGUGGGCUUCAUCAGGGCUAGGGGAGGGGGUGGCAGAAGCGAUGCAGACGGCGUCGCGAUCGUGGAAUAGGAGCUGUCGCCCCUGUUCAUGUAAUCCUCUUUUUUAAAACGAAGAUCAACAGUGAAAUCGGCAAACCAUUUGCCGGCUUCACUUGAGUUUCGAUUUUUUUUAAAAAAACUAUGAAACAAGGGCGUCACCUCUGUUUCACACCCGCAGCGCCGUGCGCCUAGACUGCGCCAUCCGACGGCCACGAUGGCCAGUCGGAGAACAUCUGAUGGCCCCGCCCCCUCCUUCCCCUCCCUCCUUUUCUUUUUUCCUCCCUCUCUCUCUAUUUCUCUCUCUUUCUUCUUUUGGUUCAGAUCCAAUGCUUUCGUCGGUUCGCUACCGAUUUGGUACAGUACGGAAUCGUACCGAACUGUACCAUCGAUCGAUCGAAACGGCUGUCGGUACCGAGACGACGAACCUUGACUAGGUCAAUGAUUUUUACAAAAAUUGACCUUAGAAGCGGAUAUCACCAGAUAAGGAUUAGGCCAGGAGAUGAAUGGAAAACUAUCUUUAAGACAAAAGAAGGUUUAUUCAAGUGGUUAGUCAUGCCAUUUGAUUUAACAAAUGCUCUAAGUACAUUCAUACGUAUCAUGAAUCAAGUACUUCGACCUUUCAUAGAAAAGUUUCUCAUGGUCUAUUUCGACGAUAUUCUGAUUUAUAGUAAAACCAAGGACAGACACCUAAGUCAUCUUAGGCAAGUCUUAGAUACUCUAAGGAGAGAAAAACUUUAGAUUAAUACCAAGAAGUGUGCCUUCAUGCAACCUAAGGUUGUUUUCUUAGGCUUCGUGGUAUCUGUAGAUGGAGUAUCGGCUGAUCCUAAUAAGGUCAAAGCAAUCCAAGAGUGGCCCCAACCUCAGAACAUUCAUAAAGUUAGAAGUUUCCAUGGGUUAGCCACUUUUUAUCGGAGAUUCAUUUUAGGUUUUAGUACAAUUAUGGCUCCGAUUACGAACUAUAUGAAAAAUGGAGAAUUCAAGUGGACUAAGGGUGAAGAUAAAGCAUUUAAUGAAAUUAAAAAGCAUAUGUCUACUCCAUCUAUUUUGAGGUUGCCUGAUUUUAAGAAGAUCUUUGAGGUUUCUUGUGACGCAUCUGGAGUAGGAAUAGGUGGAGUCCUAAGUCAAGAAGGUCAUCCGAUCGCUUAUUUUAGUGAAAAGCUAAAUAAGGCAAAGAUGAAGUACUCCACAUAUGAUAAGAAAUUGUACGCAGUUGUACAAGCCCUACGGUAUUGGCGACAUUAUUUGUUACCUAAGGAGUUUGUUUUACUUUUGGACUAUCAAGCCCUUAGUUAUUUUAAGUCGUAAAAGAAAUUGAAUUUAUGACAUACCAAGUGGGUUGCGUUUCUUGAGGAAUACACUUAUAUUCUUAACACAUCUUACUGGAGUCGAAAAUAGAGCUGCUGAUGCCCUUAGUCGUGUUGUUAUGACUUUGCAUGCUGUGAGAGCACAAGUUAUAGGGUUUGAUCGAGUCAAAGAUGAUUAUUCAACAUGUCCAGAUUUUGGUGAGACUCACAAGAAUCUUCUAGAUGGACAGCAUGAUAACCCUGAUUUUGUUAUUCAUGAGGGAUAUUUAUUUAAGGGUAGGCACUUGUGCAUUCCCUAAGGCUCAUUGAGAGAGUUUGUGAUUUUGGAGUCGCAUUCUGGAGGAUUAGCAGGACAUUUUGGCAGGGAUAAGACUAUUCUUUUAGUAGAAAACUGUUUCUUUUGGCCGAGUCUUAAGCAGGAUGUUGCACGUGUUGUUGCCCAAUGUGGUAGAUGUCAGACUACUCAAGGCAAACGAAAGAAUACUGGUUUAUAUACACUUUUGCCCAUGCCUCAUGCCCCAUGGCAAGAUUUGAGCAUGGACUUUGUUUUAGGACUUCCUAAGACUAUUCGAGGUCAUGAUUCGAUUCUAAUGGUAGUCGAUAGGUUUUCUAAGAUGGCAUACUUUAUAGCAUGUAGGAAGACUUCUGACGCCACUCACAUAGCAAAGCUUUUUGUUGAUCAGGUCAUAAAAUUGCAUGGAUUACCCAAGACUAUUGUGAGUGAUAGAGAUGUGUGAUUUGUGAGUUACUUUUGGAAAACAAUGUGGAAAACUAAUGAACACUAAAUUAUAAUUUUCUUCGUCAUAUCAUCCACAAAAAGAUGGCCAAAUCGAGGUUGUCAAUCGAAGCCUAGGUGACUCAUUGCAUUGUCUAGUAGGUGAUCAUAUUAAAAAUUGGGAUAGUAUUUUGUCUAUGGCUGAAUUUGCUUACAAUAACUAGGUUAUCGCACUGUAGGGGUGAGUCCAUUUGAGAUUGUCACUGGUUACAACCCUAGAACACCCAUUGACCUAAUUCUUUUAUCGAUAGAUUAUAGAUCAAGCCAGCAUGCCGAAGCAUUUGUUCAAUAUAUAAAAGACUUGCAUGAUAAGAUAAGACAAGCAAUUGUUUUAAAAACUGAGGUUUAUACAAACAAAGCAAAUGAACAUCAGCGUGAAGGAAAUUUUAAAGGAGAUAUGGUUAUGGUAAGGAUUCGACCAGAAUGAUUUCGCACAGGUACCACAAAAAAGCUAUAUGCGAGAAAUUUGGGUCCAUUCAAGAUCUUGAAGCGACUAAAUCUAAAUGCUUAUGUCUUGGAUUUGCCCACUGAUGUUGGUUUUAGCUCAACGAUCAAUGUUGAGGAUCUUAGCUACUAUCAUAAAUCUCUUUCCAUCAACAGCCCCAGUUCCACAAGUAUACCUCUACCACCACUUCCACUUCCGCCUAUACCUAAUAUUCUGAGAAAGAAAGAAGAAAUUGAACAAGUUUUCGACGAUCGACUUGUUAUCACACAAUCAGGUGAUUCGCAUAGCUUUCUGAUGAAGUGGGCAUUCCGAUCUGAUGAAGAAGUAACAUGGAUAUCCGAGCAUGAGCUGAGAAAAAUUGCCCCAGAUCUCUAUGAGGAUUACAUCAGCCAUAAUCCGUCAGAGUCGGAUUUUUCCAAGCCGAAAAGAGAUAAUGCAGACCGAGCCCAACUUGCAUCCACAUCCAAACUUCAGGUCUAUCAAAGAAGGCGGCACAAGUCAGCACCCGAAUCCACUAUCUGGAUUUGAAGAUUUUGCUGAAUUUUCUAUUUAGAAAGAUUUUUUUCUUUCUUUUAUAUUUAAAAGAUUUUAUCAUCUUUCUUUUUUAUUUAGGAAGAUUUUAUUCUAUCAUCUUCUUUUUAGAAAAAAAAAUUAUUCUGUCAUCUUUCUUUUCUUGCUUGAGAAGAUUUGGUCAAAAUUUCUUUUUCUGUUUAAGAGGAUCUUGUUUGAUCAUCCUUCCUUUUUUUUAGAUAAGUCUUUAAAUUGAAAAUAUUUUUUUUUAUUCGCAGAGGUGUUGGUCUAUAAAUAGCCUACAAGGCUUUGGCUAUGGGGGAGAAUGAUUAUUGAAUAAAAUUCAAGUUUUGUUAAAGAGUUGUAGUGAAAGCUUUGUUUCUUUCUUGGGGUGUUACCGGUUUUGACGAGAUCCAAAGUUUAGUUCUUCUUUAGAUAUGUGUUCUCCUCUAUUUUCUGUAAGUUGUGAUUACUUAUUAGUGAGAUCUGAUCGAGAUUCGAGAAAAUUUGGAAAUUUCACAAAGUAGGAAGAAGACGGAGGUUGAAGACGAAGAUCUUUUUUUUCCUUCUCCUUGUGCGUGCUAUCCAAGACGUCCGACCAGCCAUCCAUACCAGCAAUCUGGGCCAACUUCAACCCAAAGUCAAGUAUUAGCUCUUCUUUACUUCACAAAAAAAAAGGUUAUAGUGCUAAUUUUUCUGUCCAGAUCCAGAUCUACACGUAUCAUCUAUUGGUAAUAAAAGCUGGGUUCAUAAGAUAGUUUGAUUUCUAUUUUCUUUCCUCGAAAAAUUUAUCAUAUUACUUCUUUCUAAAAAAAAUCAGAAAUUAAUUCAGUCAUUUCCCUUCCUACAUGAUACUUGAUUGUGAUUGUUGAGCAGGAAUUGACUACGUG
RNAcentral lists this long non-coding RNA (8053 nucleotides) under Elaeis guineensis (African oil palm). RNAcentral's name for it is "long non-coding RNA (EGUI_LNC001622)". The record is from RNAcentral. Lineage: Eukaryota; Viridiplantae; Streptophyta; Magnoliopsida; Arecales; Arecaceae.